RNAcentral lists this ribosomal RNA (120 nucleotides) under Pteropus alecto (black flying fox). The record is from RNAcentral. Lineage: Eukaryota; Metazoa; Chordata; Mammalia; Chiroptera; Pteropodidae.
CCUUAUAGCCGUGCCACCCUGAAGAAGCCCGAUCUCGUCUGAUUUCAGAAGCUAAGCAGGGUCGGGCCUGGUUAGUACUUGGAUGGGAGACCACCUAGGAAGACCAGGUGCCUGUAGGCA